This 153-nucleotide ribosomal RNA is filed under the name uncultured bacterium. Its description in RNAcentral is "partial 16S ribosomal RNA". It matches the Rfam family "Bacterial small subunit ribosomal RNA", at positions 376 to 531 of the family's 1533-position model. The record is from RNAcentral.
CGAAAGCCUGACGCAGCGACGCCGCGUGGGGGAUGAAGGUCUUCGGAUUGUAAACCCCUUUCAGGAGGGAAGAUGGAACGGGCAACCGUUCGGACGGUACCUCCAGAAGCAGCCACGGCUAACUUCGUGCCAGCAGCCGCGGUAAUACGAAGG